UGGGGAAUUUUGGACAAUGGGCGAAAGCCUGAUCCAGCAAUGCCGCGUGCAGGAAGAAUGCCUUCGGGUUGUAAACUGCUUUUAUACGGAACGAAACGGUCUUUUUUAAUACAAGGGGCUAAUGACGGUACCGUAAGAAUAAGCACCGGCUAACUACGUGCCAGCAGCCGCGGUAAUACGUAGGGUGCGAGCGUUAAUCGGAAUUACUGGGCGUAAAGCGUGCGCAGGCGGUUAUAUAAGCCAGUUGUGAAAUCCCCGGGCUCAACCUGGGAAUUGCAUCUGUUACUGUAUAGCUAGAGUACGGGAGAGGGGGAUGGAAUUCCGCGUGUAGCAGUGAAAUGCGUAGAUAUGCGGAGGAACACCGAUGGCGAAGGCAAUCCCCUGGGCCUGCACUGACGCUCGUGCACGAAAGCGUGGGGAGCAAACA
RNAcentral lists this ribosomal RNA (427 nucleotides) under uncultured bacterium. RNAcentral's name for it is "bacterial SSU rRNA". It matches the Rfam family "Bacterial small subunit ribosomal RNA", at positions 355 to 774 of the family's 1533-position model. The record is from RNAcentral.